RNAcentral lists this transfer-messenger RNA (392 nucleotides) under Gemmataceae. RNAcentral describes it as "JAGVLI01 sp016795185 Standard tmRNA". It matches the Rfam family "transfer-messenger RNA". Rfam says of the family: Bacterial tmRNA, also known as 10Sa RNA or SsrA, is named for its dual tRNA and mRNA-like properties. Its role is to liberate the mRNA from a stalled ribosome. To accomplish this part of the tmRNA is used as a reading frame that ends in a translation stop signal. The record is from RNAcentral. RNAcentral also lists the same sequence under 1 other name. Lineage: Bacteria; Pseudomonadati; Planctomycetota; Planctomycetia; Gemmatales.
GGGGGCGAUCUGGUUUCGACCGGGUAAGAUGAGGCGUAGGUGGCGUGUCGUGGUUGAACGGUUGGCCACGUAAAAAGCCGUUCGCACUUUAACUGCUGAACCGCAGUUUUCCCUGGCGGCCUAAUAACGGCUGCCCCGAGUCCAGGAGCUUCGCCUGAGAGGUCUUGGCUUGGUCGUUAAUUCGGGCUAGCCGCGCCAGACACCGGUGGAAGCAGCGGCGAAAUUUACGAUCGGUUAGUCCAAUCCGGACCCUGCCUGUCGGGGCCGGUGCGGGCGAACACGCCGGGCGAGACCGCAAGGAAUCGGCCCGGCAAGCAAUGACAAGGCUACACACGUAGAUGCCGACGCUGAAGUACCUCGGCACCCGGGUUCAAUUCCCGGCGCCUCCACUC